CAAGCUCUUAUGUGCUGAUGUGUC
RNAcentral lists this non-coding RNA (24 nucleotides) under Arabidopsis thaliana (thale cress). The record is from RNAcentral. Lineage: Eukaryota; Viridiplantae; Streptophyta; Magnoliopsida; Brassicales; Brassicaceae.